RNAcentral lists this long non-coding RNA (2568 nucleotides) under Homo sapiens (human). RNAcentral's name for it is "HSALNT0396648". The record is from RNAcentral. Lineage: Eukaryota; Metazoa; Chordata; Mammalia; Primates; Hominidae.
UCACGCCAUCGCACACCAGCCUGGGGGACAAGAGCAAGACUUUGUCUCAAACAAUAAUAAUAAUAAUGAUUGCCCACCCUGAUGCCUUAUGGGAAGCUGAGAGGGAGGAGAAUGAAUACUUGUUGGGUGGACCAGGCCUGCCAGAAUCAGGGUUUGCUGGCUAUGCUCUGCCUUACUUCACGUGGUCACAAUCCCAUGAGAUCCACGCUGUUAACUCCACUGGACAAAGAAGACACUGGGACCUAGGGCAAACAGAACAUUGAAACAGAGCAUUCAAAUGUCUGAAACUGAAACUAACAACAUGGAGCAAAACUUUGUGCAAAAAGAUGUUCACCAUGCCCUUGUUUAUAAGGGUUAUCAUUUGAAAAAUGCUCAAGUGUCCAAUUAUAAAGAAAUGCAACACUUAGUACCUGCCCCCCCCUCCAGCUUGCCCUGCCCACCAACCAGGAGCGGGGCCAGCCUGGAUCUCUUCUCUGCCGCUGGCGUAGGGGCGGGGGCGGGGGACAGUGUCUUCAGCAAAAGUCUGCGGAUAGAAAGGCCCCGCUCCUGUCCGGACAGCAGGAAUGGGAGAGCCGCCUCCAACCCCAGCCCCAUGGAGCAGGGCAGAAACGCUGCCCACUGCCCUGCUCCUGCCACCAGGAAGGGCGUGUGGGGGGCCACUUUCUGUAAAGAAGAAACCGCCUGAACAACAAGUGGCUCAAGGCACCCUUGUCUAACGACCAGGGACACUGAGCGCCAGGGCCCAAGUCACCAGCAAGAGAAAACCCAGGCGGAGCCCAGGGUGUCCCCCACUGCCCACCAGCCACUGCGGUCAACGUGAAGGGCAAGGGUGCAAGCGGGAUCGCGUCACAGGGAGCCGAGUGAGCCCAGAAAGUAGGAGAAGGACGUUUCCACCCACCUGGAGCGCAGUCCGUUUGCAGCCGGCGGCAGAAUGCUGCUGUCUCCAUCAAUAAAGUCCAUGUUAGCCACCUAGAGGAUAAAAUACCACGAGGAGGAGUAGCAAGGUGCCCCUGUUGACAGAUCUUGAAGCACAAGCUCACUCCCAGAAGCACAGCUGCCUAGUCAACAAACAGCUGACAAUACAUGUCUGAAGGAGCUCAGCUGGGAACAGAAGAAUGGCCCCACUGAGCCUAGCCUAAAUGGCGGACCAUCUCAAUUAUGAGCUAAUAAGUUUUGGAUGAUUUGUUAUGCUGCCAUACCUAACUAAUACAUGCACCCAGUGCAGAUUGGGUGUCAAGAUUUAAAGACAGUUUGAUUAUUAGUCACCUUCUAACAAUGGGCACCCUAAAGGUACUGACAUUUUUCCCGAUUUAAAGUUAAAUGUCUUGUAAGGCAAUGUUGACUGAUGCAGGAAUACUUGUAGACAUGUAUGCAUGUGAUUGGUGCUUAUAUGCACACAGUCCCCCACACCACAGGAAAAAACCGAUGACCAGAGCCUGACCAUUAUGGCCAAGGCCAAAUAGCCAAAGUUUGCCUUUAAUCUAUUUUCUUCAUAUCUAAAAAUUGGAGGUCAAUACUGUGGACAGGUCUGAAGACAUAGAGUUUUGUUCUCCUGUGGCCCCAUCAUUCUUCAGUGGUCUACCUGUGGUUAUUUUAUUCUUGUUACCUUCUGCUCUUUCUAUGACCACUAUCUGUUCCACCCUUGAAACUGAAGACAGAUGUUAGUAGAAAGAGGCUGUUCCCUCAUGUCGGGCAUGUGGGAUACGAUGAGGUUUCUCUUCAAAUAGCCUGAUCAAUCUUUUAUUCUUUAAUUCAUAGUACCCACACACACACCCCUUUUUUUCCUUUUUCUCCUUUUUCCUUUCUGCCUUUGUUAGAUGCCCAGGCACGCCACAGUACCAGGCAUUAUCAGUACCAGCUCACAUUUCUUCCCUUAUUUGGAAAGAGGACUAACUUUCUAGCUCAAUGCAGACACCCCUUCCCCUUCCUCUCUGCAUUCUUUUGCAUGCCCACCUUAUCUAAAAAAAUCAAAUGUUUAGCCAACCAGGAUUAGUUCAGAUUGUACGACCCGACCCUGGCCAAUGGGGAAAGGGUACAGGGGCAGGACUUGUGUCAGGAAUAAAGGCUCUUGUGCCCCUUUGUUCAGGUGUGCUCUCAUGGUGACUGGACAAGAACGCACCCCUCUGUGCAGAACUAAAAUUGCUUUGCUAGGAAUCCUUUGUUCGAGUGUUCAAUUUCCUUAUGAUUUUGAGCGUUAUUCCUAACAGGAAGAAAAGGGAUAUUCAGGCCUUUCACAGACCUGACAACAGAGCUGCACUUCAAUGUGACAGGUAUUGACCAUGUGUGACUCCUGGGAGCCUGGAAUGUGGCUGGUCUGAGCUGCAAUUUGCAAGAAAGGUAAAAUGCAGAGUUAGUUUCAAAGAUUUAGUUCCAUAAAUAUAAAAAUAUACAACAUAUAGAUAAAAAUAUCUAUAUAUAAUAUGGAUAAAAAUACAUAGCAUAAUGCAAUAUAUAGAUACAUAAUUAUGUUAUAUAUAAAUAUAUAUCUCAUUCAUAAUUAUACAUUGCUCACAUAUUAAAAUAAUAUUUUGGAUAUAUUGCUUUAAUUAAAUUGUUACAACAGACGGA